CGUGAGGUUUGGAGCGGACUAGUACUAAUCAGUCGAGGACUUGACCA
RNAcentral lists this ribosomal RNA (47 nucleotides) under Lactobacillus bombicola. Its description in RNAcentral is "partial 23S rRNA. Bacterial LSU". Lineage: Bacteria; Bacillati; Bacillota; Bacilli; Lactobacillales; Lactobacillaceae. The record is from RNAcentral.